AUUCUGUGAGCAGGAAAGCGAGGGGAUCGCAAGACCUUGCGCUGAUUGAGCGGCCGAUAUCAGAUUAGCUAGUUGGUGAGGUAAAGGCUCACCAAGGCGACGAUCUGUAGCGGGUCUGAGAGGAUGAUCCGCCACACUGGAACUGAGACACGGUCCAGACUCCUACGGGAGGCAGCAGUGGGGAAUUUUUGGACAAUGGGCGCAAGCCUGAUCCAGCCAUGCCGCGUGAGUGAAGAAGGCCUUCGGGUUGUAAAGCUCUUUCGGCCGGGAAGAAAUCGCACGGGUUAAUACCCUGUGUGGAUGACGGUACCGGAAUAAGAAGCACCGGCUAACUACGUA
RNAcentral lists this ribosomal RNA (339 nucleotides) under uncultured bacterium. Its description in RNAcentral is "bacterial SSU rRNA". It matches the Rfam family "Bacterial small subunit ribosomal RNA", at positions 189 to 507 of the family's 1533-position model. The record is from RNAcentral.